GACGAACGCUGGCGGCGUGCUUAACACAUGCCAGUCGAACGGAAAGGCCCUGCUUUUGUGGGGUGCUCGAGUGGCGAACGGGUGAGUAACACGUGAGUAACCUGCCCUUGACUUUGGGAUAACUUCAGGAAACUGGGGCUAAUACCGGAUAGGAGCUCCUGCUGCAUGGUGGGGGUUGGAAAGUUUCGGCGGUUGGGGAUGGUCUCGCUGGUUAUCCGCUUGUUAGUGGGGUAGUGGCUUACCAAGGCUUUGACGGGUAGCCGGCCUGAGAGGGUGACCGGCCACAUUGGGACUGCGAUACGGCGCAGACGCGUACGGGAGGCAGCAGUGGGGAAUAUUGCACAGUGGGCGGAAGCCAGAUGCAGCAACGCCGCGUGCGGGAUGACGGCCUUCGGGUUGUAAACCGCUUUCGCAUGUGACGAAGCGUGAGUGACGGUAAUGGGUAAGGAAGCACCGGCUAACUACGUG
This 468-nucleotide ribosomal RNA is filed under the name uncultured bacterium. RNAcentral describes it as "partial 16S ribosomal RNA". It matches the Rfam family "Bacterial small subunit ribosomal RNA", at positions 28 to 507 of the family's 1533-position model. The record is from RNAcentral.